This 312-nucleotide unclassified non-coding RNA is filed under the name Hevea brasiliensis (rubber tree). The record is from RNAcentral. Lineage: Eukaryota; Viridiplantae; Streptophyta; Magnoliopsida; Malpighiales; Euphorbiaceae.
GGUGCAAACAGCAAGGGCAAUUCCAGGCACUCAAUAAUGUUGGAUGGCGCAGCAAUUCCACAGACAAGGAACAUGCAGCAAUGUGAUGUCCCAAAAAACACAAGCUACACGAUAUGUAUAAGGAGUUCUCUGUGAUUGUCAUAUAACCGGUCCAAAUAGAAGCCCAUUCCGCAUUAGGAACAAGUACCUGCUUAAUCCUCAGUGUGCUUUUCUUCUUUGGGGCUGUUUAUCAGUAGCUAGCCUGUAAAUCCAGUAAACCAAAGCGAGGACGUGAGCUGCUAUUAGAAGAACCACCAAAAGAGGUACCAAAUC